Molecule: ribosomal RNA, 545 nt
Filed under: uncultured bacterium
Lineage: Bacteria
Description: bacterial SSU rRNA
Rfam family: Bacterial small subunit ribosomal RNA
Source: RNAcentral
AAUAGAUACCCUGGUAGUCCACGCCGUAAACGAUGAGUGCUAAGUGUUGGGGGGGUUUCCGCCCCUCAGUGCUGCAGCUAACGCAUUAAGCACUCCGCCUGGGGAGUACGGUCGCAAGACUGAAACUCAAAGGAAUUGACGGGGGCCCGCACAAGCGGUGGAGCAUGUGGUUUAAUUCGAAGCAACGCGAAGAACCUUACCAGGUCUUGACAUCCCGGUGACCACUAUGGAGACAUAGUUUCCCCGUUCGGGGGCAACGGUGACAGGUGGUGCAUGGUUGUCGUCAGCUCGUGUCGUGAGAUGUUGGGUUAAGUCCCGCAACGAGCGCAACCCUUAUUCUUAGUUGCCAUCAUUCAGUUGGGCACUCUAAGGAGACUGCCGGUGAUAAACCGGAGGAAGGUGGGGAUGACGUCAAAUCAUCAUGCCCCUUAUGACCUGGGCUACACACGUGCUACAAUGGACGGUACAAACGGUUGCCAACCCGCGAGGGGAGCUAAUCCGAUAAAACCGUUCUCAGUUCGGAUUGUAGGCUGCAACUCGCCUAC